Molecule: ribosomal RNA, 254 nt
Filed under: uncultured bacterium
Lineage: Bacteria
Description: partial 16S ribosomal RNA
Rfam family: Bacterial small subunit ribosomal RNA
Source: RNAcentral
UACGAAGGGUGCAAGCGUUACUCGGAAUUACUGGGCGUAAAGCGUGCGUAGGUGGUUCGUUAAGUCUGAUGUGAAAGCCCUGGGCUCAACCUGGGAAUGGCAUUGGAAACUGGCGACCUAGAGUGCGGUAGAGGGCAGUGGAAUUCCCGGUGUAGCAGUGAAAUGCGUAGAGAUCGGGGAGGAACAUCUGUGGCGAAGGCGACUGCCUGGACCAGCACUGACACUGAGGCACGAAAGCGUGGGGAGCAAACAGG